RNAcentral lists this ribosomal RNA (253 nucleotides) under uncultured bacterium. RNAcentral describes it as "partial 16S ribosomal RNA". It matches the Rfam family "Bacterial small subunit ribosomal RNA", at positions 524 to 776 of the family's 1533-position model. The record is from RNAcentral.
UACGGGGGGGGCAAGCGUUGUUCGGAAUUACUGGGCGUAAAGGGCUCGUAGGCGGCUUGUUAAGUCAGGGGUGAAAUCCUGGAGCUCAACUCCAGAACUGCCUUUGAUACUGGCGAGCUUGAGUCCGGGAGAGGUGAGUGGAACUGCGAGUGUAGAGGUGAAAUUCGUAGAUAUUCGCAAGAACACCAGUGGCGAAGGCGGCUCACUGGCCCGGUACUGACGCUGAGGUGCGAAAGCGUGGGGAGCAAACAGG